AGGACGAACGCUGGCGGCGUGCUUAACACAUGCAAGUCGAGCGGUAAGGCCCUUCGGGGUACGCGAGCGGCGAACGGGUGAGUAACACGUGGGUGAUCUGCCCUGCACUCUGGGAUAAGCCUGGGAAACUGGGUCUAAUACUGGAUAUGACCUGUCCUCGCAGUGGGGGGUGGGUGGAAAGAUUUAUCGGUGCAGGAUGGGCCCGCGGCCUAUCAGCUUGUUGGUGGGGUAAUGGCCCACCAAGGCGACGACGGGUAGCCGACCUGAGGAGGGUGACCGGCCACACGUGGGACUGAGACACGGCCCAGACUCCGUACGGGAGGCAGCAGUGGGAAUAUUGCACAAUGGGACGAAAGCCUGAUAGCAGCGACGCCGCGUGAGGA
Molecule: ribosomal RNA, 383 nt
Filed under: uncultured soil bacterium
Lineage: Bacteria
Description: bacterial SSU rRNA
Rfam family: Bacterial small subunit ribosomal RNA
Source: RNAcentral